UAAUGAAUGACUCUCGGCAACGGAUAUCUCGGCUCUUGCAUCGAUGAAGAACGUAGCGAAAUGCGAUACUUGGUGUGAAUUGCAGAAUCCCGUGAACCAUCGAGUCUUUGAACGCAAGUUGCGCCUGAAGCCAUUAGGUUGAGGGCACGUCUGCCUGGGUGUCACA
This 166-nucleotide ribosomal RNA is filed under the name Clitoria ternatea. Its description in RNAcentral is "5.8S ribosomal RNA". It matches the Rfam family "5.8S ribosomal RNA". From Rfam's summary of the family: 5.8S ribosomal RNA (5.8S rRNA) is a component of the large subunit of the eukaryotic ribosome. It is transcribed by RNA polymerase I as part of the 45S precursor that also contains 18S and 28S rRNA. The record is from RNAcentral. Lineage: Eukaryota; Viridiplantae; Streptophyta; Magnoliopsida; Fabales; Fabaceae.